UUUGGGAAAGGAGCAUUUAUAGACAUACCUUCACAUAGUCACAUUUAAAAGAAAGGUCUUUAAAACAUUUUUAAAGAAUUUCAGGAAGGAAAGCAGAGUUUAAAAAAAACCACAGGUUACAGCUGCAGAAUAAAGCAGUGUCUAGAAGAUGCAGACUACCUUAAAAGGUGUUUGUCAUAAGCAGGAGAAUUGACUGGAAAGUUACAUGGAGCCUACCUGAUGUUGAUUCCUGGAGUUUCUCUCUCUUCCUCUUCUUUUUCUUACCCUGGAAGAAGAUGGGUAUAUGGUCAUGUUACAGACUGGACUAUGAACACAUGGAUGGAUAUGAUACUAAAGUACAAAAGGUAUGAACCAGUGUUUCAAGAGAACCAACAUUUUAUGAUAGACAAAGAUGACCUAAGUAGUUUGGAUGUACUGAUGUCAACAUACACAAAAAAAAUCAUCUGUGUGUGGGGAUCCCACAAUCAAGUUAUGCAAAACAAUUUCUUUUAAAAAUCAUGCAGAAGAAUUUAAAGUUUCAGUAACCUCUGGUCAAGCAGGGUCUGGAAGCAGACAAUCCUCCUUCUGACAUGGUGUCAGCAGAUCAGCAGCAGCCUAAUGCAAUAUCACAAUGCCUGCUCAGUCCCCUUACUUCAUGUCCUCAUGUUACCAUCUCACAUCAUGACAAGGAGAGAGGAAUCGAUAAUGCAAGAAAGCUUACUUCUCUCCAUCUGUUCACAUGGCUUGGAAAUCUCCUGCAUGUCUUCUAUUAUGUAUGUUGAAGUUUAUUAGGUUUGUAUCAAACAUGGUAAAAAUUACCCACAAUAGCUAAAACACGAUCAUUUAAGUUUUACAAAAGCUGUUAGACCUUCCUUGUCUAAAUGUUCAUUUACAAAUCAUGAAUUUCUUGAGGUUGCAAAAACAAAUACAUAGGGUCAUAAUUUAAGUAACUAUCACAUACAUGAAGAGCAUCAACAAAUUAAAAUGAAGCAUUUCUAAAAUUAUAAUGUAGUAUUAGAAAAACUCCAAUCUUUCUUACCAUUCUUCAUAUACCUAAUGUUUUAAGACCAUUUCAAUCCUUAUAAAAAGCACCUGGGAAGACUAACUAGCCUUUGGGCUGGUGGCUGGAUAAAGAAAUCUUACAGCAUCUGCCCUAGUUGUAGCCUCGUGCCUGGUAUACACAGUAGGUGAUCAGAAGAGCAUCGUGGAGUGAAUAAAAGAAAGAGUGAAAAGAAAAGAGGCAAUGCAGACACCAUGCACAUAUUUUA
Long non-coding RNA from Canis lupus familiaris (dog), 1247 nucleotides. RefSeq lists it as uncharacterized. The record is from RefSeq and is a predicted model, not a curated record. NCBI's taxonomy places the organism in Eukaryota, Metazoa, Chordata, Mammalia, Carnivora, Canidae. The transcript has 5 exons.